AAGUCGAGCGGUAGCACAGAGAGCUUGCUCUCGGGUGACGAGCGGCGGACGGGUGAGUAAUGUCUGGGAAACUGCCUGAUGGAGGGGGAUAACUACUGGAAACGGUAGCUAAUACCGCAUAACGUCGCAAGACCAAAGUGGGGGACCUUCGGGCCUCAUGCCAUCAGAUGUGCCCAGAUGGGAUUAGCUAGUAGGUGGGGUAACGGCUCACCUAGGCGACGAUCCCUAGCUGGUCUGAGAGGAUGACCAGCCACACUGGAACUGAGACACGGUCCAGACUCCUACGGGAGGCAGCAGUGGGGAAUAUUGCACAAUGGGCGCAAGCCUGAUGCAGCCAUGCCGCGUGUGUGAAGAAGGCCUUCGGGUUGUAAAGCACUUUCAGCGGGGAGGAAGGCGUUAAGGUUAAUAACCUUGGCGAUUGACGUUACCCGCAGAAGAAGCACCGGCUAACUCCGUGCCAGCAGCCGCGGUAAUACGGAGGGUGCAAGCGUUAAUCGGAAUUACUGGGCGUAAAGCGCACGCAGGCGGUCUGUCAAGUCGGAUGUGAAAUCCCCGGGCUCAACCUGGGAACUGCAUUCGAAACUGGCAGGCUAGAGUCUUGUAGAGGGGGGUAGAAUUCCAGGUGUAGCGGUGAAAUGCGUAGAGAUCUGGAGGAAUACCGGUGGCGAAGGCGGCCCCCUGGACAAAGACUGACGCUCAGGUGCGAAAGCGUGGGGAGCAAACAGGAUUAGAUACCCUGGUAGUCCACGCCGUAAACGAUGUCGAUUUGGAGGUUGUGCCCUUGAGGCGUGGCUUCCGGAGCUAACGCGUUAAAUCGACCGCCUGGGGAGUACGGCCGCAAGGUUAAAACUCAAAUGAAUUGACGGGGGCCCGCACAAGCGGUGGAGCAUGUGGUUUAAUUCGAUGCAACGCGAAGAACCUUACCUGGUCUUGACAUCCACAGAACUUUCCAGAGAUGGAUUGGUGCCUUCGGGAACUGUGAGACAGGUGCUGCAUGGCUGUCGUCAGCUCGUGUUGUGAAAUGUUGGGUUAAGUCCCGCAACGAGCGCAACCCUUAUCCUUUGUUGCCAGCGGUUCGGCCGGGAACUCAAAGGAGACUGCCAGUGAUAAACUGGAGGAAGGUGGGGAUGACGUCAAGUCAUCAUGGCCCUUACGACCAGGGCUACACACGUGCUACAAUGGCAUAUACAAAGAGAAGCGACCUCGCGAGAGCAAGCGGACCUCAUAAAGUAUGUCGUAGUCCGGAUUGGAGUCUGCAACUCGACUCCAUGAAGUCGGAAUCGCUAGUAAUCGUAGAUCAGAAUGCUACGGUGAAUACGUUCCCGGGCCUUGUACACACCGCCCGUCACACCAUGGGAGUGGGUUGCAAAAGAA
This 1374-nucleotide ribosomal RNA is filed under the name Klebsiella sp. UIWRF0782. Its description in RNAcentral is "bacterial SSU rRNA". It matches the Rfam family "Bacterial small subunit ribosomal RNA", at positions 59 to 1425 of the family's 1533-position model. The record is from RNAcentral. Lineage: Bacteria; Pseudomonadati; Pseudomonadota; Gammaproteobacteria; Enterobacterales; Enterobacteriaceae.